This 274-nucleotide ribosomal RNA is filed under the name uncultured bacterium. Its description in RNAcentral is "partial 16S ribosomal RNA". It matches the Rfam family "Bacterial small subunit ribosomal RNA", at positions 523 to 796 of the family's 1533-position model. The record is from RNAcentral.
AUACGGAGGGAGCAAGCGUUAUUCGGAAUCACUGGGCGUAAAGGACGCGUAGGCGGGUUUGUAAGUCAGGUGUGAAAUCCUACAGCUCAACUGUAGAACUGCACUUGAAACUACAGACCUAGAGUAUGGAAGGGGCAGAUGGAAUUAGUGGUGUAGGGGUAAAAUCCGUAGAUAUCACUAGGAAUACCGAAAGCGAAGGCGACCUGCUGGGACAUUACUGACGCUGAGGCGUGAAAGCGUGGGGAGCAAACAGGAUUAGAAACCCCAGUAGUCC